GCCCCCGCCCCCGGCCCGCGCCCUCCUGCCGCCGCCUGUUUGGGCCGCGGGCUCGGCACCUCCUCAGCCCGGGCUCAGCGCCCGCAGCAUGCAGCAGCCGCGGGGGCGGCGACGGCGGCGGCUGUGAGGUGAGGCGGGGGCCGCGCUCGGGCGCCCCUCCCGGCUGGCCGGCUGCGGGGCCGAGUGGUGGCUCGGGGCUCACCGGGCCCGGCGCGGCGAGGGGCGGCGGCGCCUUUGUUGCGGCCGGGCCGCCGCCUCAGCCCUUUGUCUGCAGAUGGUGGACGCGAGCGGCCGCGCCGCCGCCGAGGGCUGGAGGAAGAUGGAGGCCCCGCCGGACGGCGCCGCCGACCUCGUGCCCCUGGACCGCUACGACGCGGCGCGCGCCAAGAUCGCCGCCAACCUGCAGUGGAUCUGCGCCAAGGCCUACGGCCGAGAUAACAUCCCUGAGGACCUCAGAGACCCUUUCUACGUUGACCAGUAUGAGCAGGAGCACAUUAAGCCGCCUGUUAUCAAGCUUCUCCUGUCCAGCGAGCUGUACUGCCGUGUCUGCAGCCUCAUCCUGAAAGGGGACCAGGUGGCCGCCUUACAGGGACACCAGUCUGUCAUCCAGGCCCUGUCCCGGAAAGGGAUCUAUGUGAUGGAGAGUGAUGACACCCCCGUGACAGAGUCCGACCUCAGUCGCGCACCCAUAAAAAUGAGUGCCCACAUGGCGAUGGUGGAUGCCCUGAUGAUGGCCUACACUGUGGAGAUGAUCAGCAUCGAGAAGGUGGUGGCCAGUGUCAAGCGCUUCUCAACGUUCAGUGCCUCGAAAGAACUUCCGUACGACCUCGAGGAUGCCAUGGUGUUCUGGAUCAACAAGGUAAAUCUUAAAAUGAGAGAGAUAACAGAGAAAGAAGUUAAAUUAAAACAACAGUUAUUGGAAAGUCCAGCUCAUCAAAAGCCUGGCCUGGCGCAUGCUGUGGUGCACUGCAUGCUGGAACCCGUGGAGUUUGCACGCGUGGUCCGCUAUCGACGAGAGCACCUUUCUGCUAGGCAGUCACCCUACUUCCCGUUGUUGGAGGAUUUGAUGAGAGACGGCAGUGAUGGUGCUGCUCUCUUAGCUGUGAUUCACUAUUAUUGCCCAGAGCAGAUGAAACUGGAUGAUAUAUGCUUAAAGGAGGUAACGUCGAUGGCCGACAGUCUGUAUAAUAUUCGGCUUCUGAGAGAAUUCUCCAAUGAAUAUCUUAAUAAAUGUUUUUAUCUCACCUUGGAAGAUAUGCUGUAUGCGCCGUUAGUGUUGAAGCCGAAUGUUAUGGUUUUUAUUGCGGAGCUUUUUUGGUGGUUCGAGAAUGUCAAGCCAGAUUUUGUUCAGCCCAGGGAUGUUCAGGAGCUGAAAGACGCGAAAACAGUGUUACACCAGAAGAGCAGCCGGCCUCCUGUACCUAUCUCCAACGCGACCAAACGCAGUUUCCUAGGCAGCCCUGCUGCAGGGACCCCGGCUGACCUGCAGCCCCCCGUGCAGCAGCCGGCGGAAGGCUGUCACAGGCACUACCUGCACCCGGAAGAACCUGAAUACCUCGGGAAAGGAACUGCUGCCUUCAGCCCAUCCCAUCCUUUAUUGCCACUGAGACAGAAACAGCAGAAAUCCAUACAGGGAGAGGACAUCCCUGAUCAGCGACAUCGAUCGAAUUCUUUGACCCGAGUUGAUGGUCAGCCUCGAGGAGCAGCAAUAGCCUGGCCAGAAAAAAAAACCAGCAGCGCACCCAGUGGGCCUUCCCUGUGUUUCAGGCCUGCGUCCCAGCCAACACCUUUUGCUCUACAUCACGCUGCGAGUUGUGAAGUGGAUCCCAGCUCUGGCGACAGCAUCAGCUUGGCCCGCUCCAUCAGCAAAGACAGUUUGGCAUCCAACAUUGUUAAUCUGACCCCACAGAACCAGCCACACCCCACGGCCACGAAGAGCCACGGGAAGAGCCUCCUGAGCAAUGUCAGUAUUGAGGAUGAGGAAGAGGAGCUUGUGGCUAUUGUUAGAGCAGACGUGGUUCCCCAGCAGGCUGACCCGGAGUUCCCCAGGGCCUCACCCCGGGCCUUAGGCCUUACAGCAAAUGCCCGGUCUCCCCAAGGACAGCUGGACACCUCGGAAAGUAAGCCUGACAGUUUUUUCUUGGAGCCUUUGAUGCCAGCAGUUCUUAAGCCAGCGAAAGAGAAGCAGGUGAUCACCAAGGAGGAUGAACGGGGGGAAGGGAGACCGAGGAGCAUCGUGUCCAGGAGGCCCAGCGAGGGCCCCCAGCCUUUGGUACGAAGGAAAAUGACUGGCAGUCGCGACUUGAAUAGGACUUUUACCCCGAUUCCAUGCUCAGAAUUCCCCAUGGGCAUCGACCCCACCGAGACAGGACCACUGUCAGUGGAAACCGCAGGAGAGGUCUGUGGUGGGCCUCUGGCCCUCGGCGGAUUCGAUCCGUUCCCCCAGGGACCAUCCACGGAUGGCUUCUUCCUUCAUGUAGGCAGGGCCGAUGAAGACACCGAGGGAAGGUUAUAUGUUAGUUGUUCAAAAAGCCCCAACUCCCACGAUUCAGAGCCGUGGACUCUCCUCAGGCAGGAUUCUGACUCGGAUGUGGUGGACAUAGAGGAAGCCGAGCACGAUUUCAUGGGUGAGGCCCAUCCUGUGGUUCUCAGCAGAUACAUUGGGGAGGAAGAGUCGGCCAAACUGCAGGAGGACAUGAAGGUGAAGGAACAUGAAGACAAAGAUGACGCCAGUGGCCGCUCGAGCCCCUGCCUGAGCACAGCCUCUCAGAUGAGCAGUGUCUCCAUGGCGAGUGGGAGCGUGAAGAUGACCAGCUUUGCGGAGAGGAAGCUCCAGAGACUCAACAGCUGUGAGACCAAGUCCAGCACCAGCAGCUCCCAGAAGACCACGCCAGAUGCGUCUGAGAGCUGCCCAGCCCCUCUGACGACGUGGAGGCAGAAGAGGGAGCAGAGUCCGAGCCAGCAUGGCAAGGACCCCGCCAGCCUCCUGGCAUCUGAGCUGGUACAGCUGCACAUGCAGCUGGAGGAGAAGCGCAGGGCCAUCGAGGCCCAGAAGAAGAAGAUGGAGGCGCUGUCGGCAAGGCAGCGCCUGAAGCUCGGCAAGGCUGCGUUCCUGCAUGUGGUGAAGAAGGGCAAGGCCGAGGCUGCCCCACCCCUCAGGCCGGAGCACUUUGCAAAGGAGUACUCUCAGCACAACGGGGAGGACUGUGGGGACGCUGUUUCCAAAACCGAAGACUUUCUCGUGAAGGAGGAGCAGAGAGAGGAGCUCCUUCACGAGCCACAGGAUGUGGACAAAGAGAGCCUGGCCUUUGCUCAGCAACAUAAAGCAAAAGACCCUGUGGCUCUGCACGAGCUGGAGAGAAAUAAGGUGAUCUCCGCCGCCCUCCUGGAGGACACUGUUGGGGAGGUUGUCGACGUGAAUGAAUGUGACCUUUCCAUCGAGAAGCUCAACGAAACCAUCAGUACGCUGCAGCAGGCCAUCCUGAAAAUCUCUCAGCAGCAAGAGCAGCUUCUGAUGAAGUCCCCCACAGUCCCAGUGCCGGGCUCUAAGAAUAACUCGCAGGACCACAAAGUGAAGGCGCCAGUCCACUUCGUGGAGCCACUCUCUCCCACAGGCAUGGCUGGCCACCGCAAAGCCCCCCGGCUGGGUCAAGGCCGGAAUUCCCGUUCCGGAAGGCCGGCGGAGCUGAAGGUCCCGAAAGACAGGCCACAGGGCUCCUCCCGAAGUAAAACCCCAACGCCCAGUGUAGAGACGCUCCCGCACUUGAGACCCUUCCCUGCCAGCAGCCACCCUCGGACGCCCACGGACCCUGGCCUGGACGGUGCCCUGGAGCCCAGUGGUGACCCACAUGGGAAGUGUCUCUUCGACAGUUACAGGCUCCACGAUGAAAGCAAUCAGCGGACACUUACUCUGUCCUCUUCCAAAGAUGCCAACAUUCUUUCGGAGCAGAUGAGCCUCAAAGACGUUCUGGAUGCGAGUGUGAAGGAGGUGGGGUCCAGCUCCUCAGAUGUCUCGGGAAAAGAGAGCGUCCCCGUGGAGGAGCCUCUGAGGAGCAGGGCCAGCCUCAUUGAAGUGGACCUCUCCGACCUGAAGGCCCCCGACGAGGAUGGGGAGCUGGUAAGCCUCGAUGGCUCGGCGGACCUUGUCAGCGAAGGCGACCAGAAGCCGGGGGUCGGCUUCUUCUUCAAGGAUGAACAGAAAGCGGAAGAUGAGCUCGCCAAGAAGCGGGCGGCCUUCCUCCUGAAGCAGCAGCGCAAGGCCGAGGAGGCCCGCGUGCGCAAGCAGCAGCUGGAAGCGGAGGUGGAGCUCAAGCGUGACGAAGCCCGGCGCAAAGCUGAGGAAGACCGGGUGCGGAAGGAGGAGGAGAAGGCGCGGCGCGAGCUCAUCAAGCAGGAGUACCUGCGGAGGAAGCAGCAGCAGAUCCUAGAGGAGCAGGGGCUCGGCAAGCCCAAGUCAAAGCCGAAGAAGCCGCGGCCGAAGUCGGUGCACCGGGAAGAGUCGUGCAGCGACUCCGGCACCAAGUGCUCCUCCACCCCUGAUAACUUGAGCCGGACUCAGUCAGGCUCCAGCCUGUCCUUGGCCUCUGCGGCGACGACAGAACCCGAGAGCGUUCAUUCCGGAGGCACACCCUCUCAGCGAAUAGUUGCAAUCAUGUCAUCAGGAAUACCAGUGCCCUUCACACGGGCUCCCCAGCUGGUUAAACGUGGCAGCCUUCACCUUAUCACCCUCCCCUGUCCCCCACCCCACACGUGCACACCUGCUUCUUCAUCGUUUUGAGUCCGUUGGAGUCCAAGCGUGGUGGCUCACACCCAUGAUUCCAGCACUUUGGGAGGCUGAGGCAGGAAGAUCACUUGGGCCUUGGAGUUCCAGACCAGCCUGGGCAACAGAGUGAGACCCCCCCAUCUCUACAAAAAAUACAAAAAAAAGUCAGCUGGGUGUGGGGGCAUGCACCUAUAGUCCCAGCUACUUGGGAGGCUGAGGUGGUAGUAUCGCUUGAGCCCAGGAAGUUGAGGCUGCGGUGAGCUGUGCUCACGCUACUGCACUCCAGCCUGGGCAACAGAGUGAGACGCUGCCAGAAAACCCCCAAAAGCAAAAAUAAACAGAAAAAAACCACUCCGUUGGAGAUGUCUGGCCUUUUAUGCUUAAAUACUUAAGUGUGUAUUUCCUAGAACGAGAAUGUUUUCUCGUGUUACCAGUUACCAAGGCAGCACUUUCAUCCGAUUUGCGGUCCCCAUUCAGCUGUCCUCAGCUAUCCCAAGAGUGUCCCUGACAACUGUGUUGUUCCCUAGUCCAGGAUCUGGUUUGGGGCGAUGAAUGGCCUUGAAAUGCCAUGUCCCUGUAGUCUCCUUCGAUCCAGAGCAGUUCCUUAGCCUUUCUGUGUUUUUCUGGACCUUGACUUUUGGUAACCACAGGUCAGUUAUCCUUCUGGCUGCCUCUCAGUAUCGGCUUCCUGUGAUGAGACUGAGGCCUCGCGCUGCUGAUUGAGCAGCCCAGAAAGUGGAAUCGAUGGAAGCCCUGCCCAUACUGAGCCGUAACGCAAGCAGGAGCACAGACCGAGACUGGGAGACCGCGUCGGCGGCAUCUUCCCUGGCCUCAGUGGCCGAGUACACAGGUCCCAAGCUCUUUAAGGAGCCCAGUAGUAAAUCAAACAAGCCGAUUAUUCACAAUGCCAUAUCCCAUUGCUGCCUGGCUGGAAAAGUGAACGAACCCCACAAGAAUUCCAUAUUGGAGGAGCUGGAGAAGUGUGAUGCCAAUCACUACAUCAUACUGUUUCGUGAUGCUGGCUGCCAGUUCAGGGCGCUUUACUGCUACUAUCCUGAUACUGAGGAAAUCUACAAACUCACUGGCACGGGGCCAAAGAACAUCACCAAGAAAAUGAUCGACAAACUGUAUAAAUACAGCUCAGACCGAAAACAGUUUAACUUGAUCCCAGCCAAAACCAUGUCUGUCAGUGUGGACGCACUCACAAUCCACAACCACCUGUGGCAGCCCAAGCGGCCUGCAGUGCCAAAGAAGGCCCAGACUCGUAAAUGACCCCGGUGCAGCUGGCGUCCAAAGGGUGACCCAGACUCGUAAAUGAUGCCCUUGUGGCUGGCAUCCAGAGGGUGCCACGGGGUCCUUAUUUAUUGUUUUCAUCUAUUUGGGUACGAAGUGUGCAAAGUCACAGACCUUUUGCAAAGAGGUUUCUAGACAGCAGAAGAAAACCCCUCUCUCAGCGCUCAUCUCACGCAGAGGAUGCCAGGCAGGGUGAGGAUGGGGGAGUAGAUGCCGCUUUUGCAGUGGCUCGCACUGCUGUGGCCACUGCUGACCACUGAGGCUCCCAGCGGAGGGUGUUCACAGCCAGGUCCCGGGCCACGGAGCUCCCUUACUUGAAGUUCUCCUUCAGCAUAGAUUAGACGUGAUCCACUUUGCUUUCUUGCUUCUCACCUCGCCCCCUUGCACAUUGCCUGACACCCUCAUUUUGGCCAGCUGUAAUCUCAAGUGACUAUAGGACUGAGGCUCAAUCUUGGCUUGGGGUGUUUGAAUGUCUAUAGCAAAGGAAUUCAUAAUGGGAAAUCUUUUUCAUUUGAGAAGUUAUAUGAUAUUUAUUGAUUGUGUCUACUGCCAACAUUUAUAUCCAAUUCUAAGAUUUCUGAAAAAAAAUUCUUAUCCCUUGCUGCUCAGAAAAAGUUUACUGAAAAUACCAGUUCACUAAAAGCACUGAAAUCUGCAAAGUCUGUCUUCUGCUAAAGUAACGUUUACAAAUGUGAAGAUGAUGAUUUCUGGCACGCAGUCAUGAGGAUGGGGAAUGGCACUAGGAGCUGAUGUUUGCCUCAUUUCAAGUAGGCAAGCUGAGCCAACUGCAGCCAUCAUUCAUUAAGUUUUGGGUAGUGCUCUAAUGGUUUGUUCACUUUAAUAAAGACAGAUUUUGGUAAAGUAGAAUAUUUUUCAUUCUGAGCAUGUUUGUCCCAAAAGGUGAUGCACUUAAGCUGACAGUCCCUUCAGUGGUUUUGUUAGGUCACGGCUUGUCCUGUCUGGAUUCUGCAUCUGGAAGCGCUGCAUGCUCUCAGAGGAGCGUGCCGUUUCCCCUGUAGAUGGAUACUUUUGUUUUGUUGCCUAUUUAAAAACAAUUAAGUGGUUAUUUGCAGUUAUUUCAGAACUCCAAGUAAGUGGAUGGCUUUGGGUUCUUUCUGCCUUGGUCCCAAUGGUGUUGAUGCUUCUGUGGAGCGCGGACAUUCCCAGGAGCAGGUGCGUGCCAGCCAUGGCUGCCAGACACUGCUGCAACUGACCAGCUGCCGGAAGAUUCUGGAGCCACUAACAUUAGUUUUGCACAUAUUUUCUUGGGAGUGUUACUUGAAUCUAUCUCAAACUGCAGAAAAAAUCAAAAGAUCAAUAAUUGGGAGAAAAAGAGACAAAUUUAACUGUUACAUAAUUUUAGAUAGACAAAAAACAUGAGUGAGUCGUGUACAUAAGGAGGGAACAUGGUACAGAAGGCUAGAAGGAAUUAUAGGUCUUAUUCCCCUUUCCUCAGUCCUUUGAAGAAAAGUACAGUCUCUUGCGAUUUUGUAUAUAUCGUGUUCGACACAGCCGCUCUCUGUCCUGUAAAUAGGGAACUAAAGGCUGUAUGAUUUCUCAAGUGCUGAGUUACACAGUCCUGAGUGAGCUUUCUGUUACCAUACUUUCACACGUGGGCUUUAUUUCUCACUGUAUGUUUGAUAUGAUAUUACUGUAUUUAUUUUAAGAAAGCACUAAGAUGUAAUAAAGUGAUGAACUAAUUUGCUUUACAUUGAAUCGUAUGUGUGAGGUUGCUGUGGCUCAUUUCGCUGACCAGGCGACACCAACUCCUUGCUUUAUAGGAGUUUCACAUUGUUCUUUACCAUGGCCCUAUCGAAGUCAGUGGAAUUGGAUUCUUUUUAAUGAAGAGCUAGAAAAUAUCUGGCAUAGAGCUGGAAAAUUGCAUUCCCAUGGGACGUCUGAAUCAAUUCUGGAUUUUCUCCAUGGAAGGAGUCAGUGUGUGGAACAUCCUGAAACUUGUCCUUAAGCGUGUAGUUUUCACUGUUUGUUGCGAGUAAGCACUAAUGUGGCAUGGACAUUCCUGAUGUCCCAAGUCCCCAGGCCAGUGUUCGCCUAAUGAUUGACAGAAGCGUCCCUGCAUUCUUCAUGCUUGGACACAGCAACCCUUUUAAUUAGUCUUGAAAAGUUUCAGACACAGGAUUAAUUUUCGUGGUGGUGCUUUUGGGCCUUUCUGGCUUGGGUGGUGGUAAAGUCAUGAUUUUGCAGUUGAUAACACUGACUUAUAACUCUGUUUAUCAAUGUCUCCUAUAUUCAAAGCCCCUGCAGUGGUAUUUGUGUCUCGUUGCAAAUUUCUUUCAGCGGAAAGCUUGCACAACUUUCGUUGUGUCUCAGAAUUCUAACCUUGUUAUUUAAGACAAGCUGCUCUACCCAUUUAGGAUAUAACUUUGUAAAGAAAGUGUAAACCAAAUGAUUCAAUGUAUGAUGAAGUUUAUGUGUAAAUCCUUGGUAAUGCUAGAAUUCUGGGAGCCCAGAAGGGUUGAAAGAGAAAUGAAACUUGCGUGAGUCCCAUUAUUUUACGCAUGUAUGUGCAGAUACGUUCUACCCACACGUGUGCAUGCACAUGGCUGUGUGCGUGCACCAAAGAUGGACUGCUUUCCAUGUGUCCUUUUGACUUUCUACACGUGUCACUGCGGUGCAGUCUCUUAGCAGACUUCAGGCCCAAACUGUAUUCUUCACUCAGGCAAAAUUGAAAAGUGGAAUAAUUCUAAAUUACUUCUAGGUUAUACUUUUACCUCCCUGAAAUUGUAGUUGUCACUUGGAGGGCAAAAUAUUUAUUGAAAUAAAAUUUUCUGUUAAAAAUUCA
Molecule: RNA transcript, 8858 nt
Organism: Pan troglodytes (chimpanzee)
Lineage: Eukaryota; Metazoa; Chordata; Mammalia; Primates; Hominidae
Gene: CAMSAP1
Gene name: calmodulin regulated spectrin associated protein 1
Exons: 19
Source: RefSeq, a predicted model, not a curated record